RNAcentral lists this ribosomal RNA (2490 nucleotides) under Escherichia coli HVH 63 (4-2542528). RNAcentral describes it as "bacterial LSU rRNA". It matches the Rfam family "Bacterial large subunit ribosomal RNA", at positions 453 to 2925 of the family's 2925-position model. Lineage: Bacteria; Pseudomonadati; Pseudomonadota; Gammaproteobacteria; Enterobacterales; Enterobacteriaceae. The record is from RNAcentral.
CCAUCCUCCAAGGCUAAAUACUCCUGACUGACCGAUAGUGAACCAGUACCGUGAGGGAAAGGCGAAAAGAACCCCGGCGAGGGGAGUGAAAAAGAACCUGAAACCGUGUACGUACAAGCAGUGGGAGCCUCUUUAUGGGGUGACUGCGUACCUUUUGUAUAAUGGGUCAGCGACUUAUAUUCUGUAGCAAGGUUAACCGAAUAGGGGAGCCGAAGGGAAACCGAGUCUUAACUGGGCGUUAAGUUGCAGGGUAUAGACCCGAAACCCGGUGAUCUAGCCAUGGGCAGGUUGAAGGUUGGGUAACACUAACUGGAGGACCGAACCGACUAAUGUUGAAAAAUUAGCGGAUGACUUGUGGCUGGGGGUGAAAGGCCAAUCAAACCGGGAGAUAGCUGGUUCUCCCCGAAAGCUAUUUAGGUAGCGCCUCGUGAAUUCAUCUCCGGGGGUAGAGCACUGUUUCGGCAAGGGGGUCAUCCCGACUUACCAACCCGAUGCAAACUGCGAAUACCGGAGAAUGUUAUCACGGGAGACACACGGCGGGUGCUAACGUCCGUCGUGAAGAGGGAAACAACCCAGACCGCCAGCUAAGGUCCCAAAGUCAUGGUUAAGUGGGAAACGAUGUGGGAAGGCCCAGACAGCCAGGAUGUUGGCUUAGAAGCAGCCAUCAUUUAAAGAAAGCGUAAUAGCUCACUGGUCGAGUCGGCCUGCGCGGAAGAUGUAACGGGGCUAAACCAUGCACCGAAGCUGCGGCAGCGACACUAUGUGUUGUUGGGUAGGGGAGCGUUCUGUAAGCCUGCGAAGGUGUACUGUGAGGUAUGCUGGAGGUAUCAGAAGUGCGAAUGCUGACAUAAGUAACGAUAAAGCGGGUGAAAAGCCCGCUCGCCGGAAGACCAAGGGUUCCUGUCCAACGUUAAUCGGGGCAGGGUGAGUCGACCCCUAAGGCGAGGCCGAAAGGCGUAGUCGAUGGGAAACAGGUUAAUAUUCCUGUACUUGGUGUUACUGCGAAGGGGGGACGGAGAAGGCUAUGUUGGCCGGGCGACGGUUGUCCCGGUUUAAGCGUGUAGGCUGGUUUUCCAGGCAAAUCCGGAAAAUCAAGGCUGAGGCGUGAUGACGAGGCACUACGGUGCUGAAGCAACAAAUGCCCUGCUUCCAGGAAAAGCCUCUAAGCAUCAGGUAACAUCAAAUCGUACCCCAAACCGACACAGGUGGUCAGGUAGAGAAUACCAAGGCGCUUGAGAGAACUCGGGUGAAGGAACUAGGCAAAAUGGUGCCGUAACUUCGGGAGAAGGCACGCUGAUAUGUAGGUGAAGUCCCUCGCGGAUGGAGCUGAAAUCAGUCGAAGAUACCAGCUGGCUGCAACUGUUUAUUAAAAACACAGCACUGUGCAAACACGAAAGUGGACGUAUACGGUGUGACGCCUGCCCGGUGCCGGAAGGUUAAUUGAUGGGGUUAGCGCAAGCGAAGCUCUUGAUCGAAGCCCCGGUAAACGGCGGCCGUAACUAUAACGGUCCUAAGGUAGCGAAAUUCCUUGUCGGGUAAGUUCCGACCUGCACGAAUGGCGUAAUGAUGGCCAGGCUGUCUCCACCCGAGACUCAGUGAAAUUGAACUCGCUGUGAAGAUGCAGUGUACCCGCGGCAAGACGGAAAGACCCCGUGAACCUUUACUAUAGCUUGACACUGAACAUUGAGCCUUGAUGUGUAGGAUAGGUGGGAGGCUUUGAAGUGUGGACGCCAGUCUGCAUGGAGCCGACCUUGAAAUACCACCCUUUAAUGUUUGAUGUUCUAACGUUGGCCCCUGAUCGGGGUUGCGGACAGUGUCUGGUGGGUAGUUUGACUGGGGCGGUCUCCUCCUAAAGAGUAACGGAGGAGCACGAAGGUUGGCUAAUCCUGGUCGGACAUCAGGAGGUUAGUGCAAUGGCAUAAGCCAGCUUGACUGCGAGCGUGACGGCGCGAGCAGGUGCGAAAGCAGGUCAUAGUGAUCCGGUGGUUCUGAAUGGAAGGGCCAUCGCUCAACGGAUAAAAGGUACUCCGGGGAUAACAGGCUGAUACCGCCCAAGAGUUCAUAUCGACGGCGGUGUUUGGCACCUCGAUGUCGGCUCAUCACAUCCUGGGGCUGAAGUAGGUCCCAAGGGUAUGGCUGUUCGCCAUUUAAAGUGGUACGCGAGCUGGGUUUAGAACGUCGUGAGACAGUUCGGUCCCUAUCUGCCGUGGGCGCUGGAGAACUGAGGGGGGCUGCUCCUAGUACGAGAGGACCGGAGUGGACGCAUCACUGGUGUUCGGGUUGUCAUGCCAAUGGCACUGCCCGGUAGCUAAAUGCGGAAGAGAUAAGUGCUGAAAGCAUCUAAGCACGAAACUUGCCCCGAGAUGAGUUCUCCCUGACUCCCUGAGAGUCCUGAAGGAACGUUGAAGACGACGACGUUGAUAGGCCGGGUGUGUAAGCGCAGCGAUGCGUUGAGCUAACCGGUACUAAUGAACCGUGAGGCUUAACCUU